GCUCUGUUGACGGGAUGAUUGUGUGAAGAUGUUCAGAGUUGACCUCGCUAUGUUCUGUUUUGUUGUGUUUUCUAGGUAACGCUUUUAUUUGAUGACUGGGAAUGUCAAACAUGUUGCUCUUGACCUACAGACAACAUCCAGCUCCCAGAUCAGCUCUGUUUGAAGAUGGAGGAUUUGGCUGUGUUCGAGUCCUGGCAGAGUUGUGCAGACUCAGGACAAUGGAGCUUUGGAGGAAUACGCAGAUUUAAAGAGGAGUCCGUAAUUAGCUUUCUAAUGAUCAUGAUCUUUUCCUCAAAGAAGUUCAUUAAUUUAUUAUUGCUGAAGUGAAGGUGUGUUUCUGAGCAGUCCAAGCCUGAAACUUCUGAGAAAGAUGGUGAGGUCACUGGGAGUCAAAAAGGCACGGUGCUGCCAUCAAGUACGUGACUUAGGCAACCUUUGUGAACAUUAAACAAAGAAAGAACUGAGGUUGAGGCAGGGGGAGCAGCAAGUAAGUACAUGUGGUCCUACUUCUCUGGAUUUCUCAGUCUGGCAGGGUUUAGUGGACUAUCAUCAGAUCAGUACAUCAGAAUGAGAUUGGAC
This 579-nucleotide long non-coding RNA is filed under the name Salmo salar (Atlantic salmon). RNAcentral describes it as "lncRNA (ENSSSAG00000104810.1, ENSSSAG00075064913.1)". The record is from RNAcentral. Lineage: Eukaryota; Metazoa; Chordata; Actinopteri; Salmoniformes; Salmonidae.